RNAcentral lists this ribosomal RNA (253 nucleotides) under uncultured bacterium. RNAcentral describes it as "partial 16S ribosomal RNA". It matches the Rfam family "Bacterial small subunit ribosomal RNA", at positions 524 to 776 of the family's 1533-position model. The record is from RNAcentral.
CACGGGGGGAGCAAGCGUUGUUCGGAUUCAUUGGGCGUAAAGGGCUCGUAGGUGGCUUUGUAAGUCGGAGGUGAAAUCCCACGGCUCAACCGUGGACACGCCUUCGAAACUGUGAAGCUUGAGGCUGGGAGAGGAGAUCGGAAUUCCUGGUGUAGCGGUGAAAUGCGUUGAUAUCCACAGGAACUCCGGUGGCGAAGGCGGCACGCUGGACCCUCUCUGACGCUGAGGCGCGAAAGCCAGGGGAGCGAACGGG